GCCGGUGUAGCUCAGCUGGUAGAGCAGCGCAUUCGUAAUGCGAAGGUCGGGAGUUCGAUUCUCUUCACCGGCACCA
RNAcentral lists this transfer RNA (76 nucleotides) under Rubrivivax sp. RNAcentral's name for it is "tRNA-Thr". It matches the Rfam family "tRNA". Rfam says of the family: Transfer RNA (tRNA) molecules are approximately 80 nucleotides in length. Their secondary structure includes four short double-helical elements and three loops (D, anti-codon, and T loops). Further hydrogen bonds mediate the characteristic L-shaped molecular structure. tRNAs have two regions of fundamental functional importance: the anti-codon, which is responsible for specific mRNA codon recognition, and the 3' end, to which the tRNAs corresponding amino acid is attached (by aminoacyl-tRNA synthetases). tRNAs cope with the degeneracy of the genetic code in two manners: having more than one tRNA (with a specific anti-codon) for a particular amino acid; and 'wobble' base-pairing, i.e. permitting non-standard base-pairing at the 3rd anti-codon position. Lineage: Bacteria; Pseudomonadati; Pseudomonadota; Betaproteobacteria; Burkholderiales; Sphaerotilaceae. The record is from RNAcentral. RNAcentral also lists the same sequence under 4 other names.